GAUGAAGAACGCAGCGAAAUGCGAUACGUAAUGUGAAUUGCAGAAUUCAGUGAAUCAUCGAGUCUUUGAACGCACAUUGCGCCCCUUGGUAUUCCAUGGGGCAUGCCUGUUCGAGCGUCAUUUGUACCUUCAAGCUCUGCUUGGUGUUGGGUGUUUGUCUCGCCUCUGCGUGUAGACUCGCCUCAAAAUAAUUGGCAGCCGGCGUAUUGAUUUCGGAGCGCAGUACAUCUCGCGCUUUGCACUCAUAACGACGACGUCCAAAAGUACAUUUUUACACUCUUGACCUCGGAUCAGGUAGGGAUACCCGCUGAACUUAAGCAUAUCAAUAAGCGGAGGA
This 337-nucleotide unclassified non-coding RNA is filed under the name soil metagenome. RNAcentral describes it as "partial contains 5.8S ribosomal RNA, internal transcribed spacer 2, and large subunit ribosomal RNA". The stretch from base 1 to 120 matches the Rfam family "5.8S ribosomal RNA", at positions 35 to 154 of the family's 154-position model. The record is from RNAcentral.